AGUUGUAAUUUAGAGAAGCGUCUUCCGCGCUGGACCGUGCAUAAGUCUCCUGGAAUGGAGCGUCAUAGAGGGUGAGAAUCCCGUCUUUGGCACGGACCCCCAGGGCUUCUGUGAUGCGCUCUCGAAGAGUCGAGUUGUUUGGGAAUGCAGCUCAAAAUGGGUGGUGAACUCCAUCUAAAGCUAAAUAUUGGCGAGAGACCGAUAGCGAACAAGUACCGUGAGGGAAAGAUGAAAAGCACUUUGGAAAGAGAGUGAAACAGUACGUGAAAUUGUUGAAAGGGAAACGCUUGAAGUCAGUCGCGUCGAUCGAGACUCAGCCUUGCCUUGGCUUGGCGUACUUCUCGGCUUGACGGGUCAGCAUCGAUUUUGACUCUCAGAUAAUGAUGGGGGAAAGGUGGCACCUUCGCAGGUGUGUUAUAGUCCUCCAUCGGAUGUGCGGGUUGGGAUCGAGGAACUCAGCACGCGCCUCUCGGCGUCGGGGCCUUGGCCCACGUUCACGUGCUUAGGAUGCUGGCGUAAUGGCUUUAAACGACCCGUCUUGAAACACGGACCAAGGAGUCUAACAUACCCGCGAGUGUUCGGGUGGAAAACCCGUGCGCGCAAUGAAAGUAAAAGUUGGGACCUCUGUCG
Molecule: ribosomal RNA, 630 nt
Filed under: Russula lakhanpalii
Lineage: Eukaryota; Fungi; Basidiomycota; Agaricomycetes; Russulales; Russulaceae
Description: partial large subunit ribosomal RNA
Rfam family: Eukaryotic large subunit ribosomal RNA
Source: RNAcentral